GGAAGCUGCUCUGGUCUGAUUGUCCAUAGUGCCUCCAUCUCCCUUCACCUAUAUGAAGGGUGAGAUUUCUAUGUAUCUUUGCAAUCUCUUAGCAGCUUGUCCGAGGGAUUAUGGGAAGCUUAAAUGAGAUCAUGAUUGAAACUGGCUCAACAGGAUGCCUGACACCAAAGCCAGUGGAAUCUGUUCUACACAAGUUAUAUCAAAGUCACAAUGUGUGAUCAUCCCCAAAUGCAGUGCAUUCAAACUUGCAGAUUUUAUGAACGCCCCCAUAUUCAUAUAAUCAGUUUCAUGGAACAUUGAUGGCUCUUUAUUUCUCAUUACAAGGACUUCUGACAAUAUUUGAAAUACAAGACAGCUGAACACAUCGCUGAGUGUCAAAAGCUUUUGGCAUUGAGGCAUACUUACAGCUUCCUGAUAUGUAAUUAUGUGUCAUUUGAUUGAGGUAAGAAUUCCAAUCCUCUGUGCUUUGCUGUGGUGUGUGGGAAGGAGUCAAUUGCGUAGUCAAUAUUUACCAUUUUGGUUGCUGGGCAUUUAAUUCUUCUUUUUGGUCAAGAACUCUGACUGAGCUUCAGAGGAACGGCUCCUGCCUCACUCUCAGCCCCUGUACUUUCAGUAAAGCAGCUCAACAUCCCCUCAUUCCAGGGGUAGAACAGGCAGCCUCAGGUUAUUCCAAUCAAUCCUUUCUGUUCUCAUUACAGUUACUGCUUCAGAGAUGGGCACUGCAAAAACUCCCAGGGGUCUUCACAGCUACACUAGAUGUUUAAACUCAC
This 770-nucleotide long non-coding RNA is filed under the name Equus caballus (horse). Its description in RNAcentral is "lncRNA (ENSECAG00000059242.1)". Lineage: Eukaryota; Metazoa; Chordata; Mammalia; Perissodactyla; Equidae. The record is from RNAcentral.